This 1554-nucleotide ribosomal RNA is filed under the name Escherichia coli O157:H7. RNAcentral's name for it is "bacterial SSU rRNA". It matches the Rfam family "Bacterial small subunit ribosomal RNA". Lineage: Bacteria; Pseudomonadati; Pseudomonadota; Gammaproteobacteria; Enterobacterales; Enterobacteriaceae. The record is from RNAcentral.
AAAUUGAAGAGUUUGAUCAUGGCUCAGAUUGAACGCUGGCGGCAGGCCUAACACAUGCAAGUCGAACGGUAACAGGAAGAAGCUUGCUUCUUUGCUGACGAGUGGCGGACGGGUGAGUAAUGUCUGGGAAACUGCCUGAUGGAGGGGGAUAACUACUGGAAACGGUAGCUAAUACCGCAUAACGUCGCAAGACCAAAGAGGGGGACCUUCGGGCCUCUUGUCAUCGGAUGUGCCCAGAUGGGAUUAGCUAGUAGGUGGGGUAACGGCUCACCUAGGCGACGAUCCCUAGCUGGUCUGAGAGGAUGACCAGCCACACUGGAACUGAGACACGGUCCAGACUCCUACGGGAGGCAGCAGUGGGGAAUAUUGCACAAUGGGCGCAAGCCUGAUGCAGCCAUGCCGCGUGUAUGAAGAAGGCCUUCGGGUUGUAAAGUACUUUCAGCGGGGAGGAAGGGAGUAAAGUUAAUACCUUUGCUCAUUGACGUUACCCGCAGAAGAAGCACCGGCUAACUCCGUGCCAGCAGCCGCGGUAAUACGGAGGGUGCAAGCGUUAAUCGGAAUUACUGGGCGUAAAGCGCACGCAGGCGGUUUGUUAAGUCAGAUGUGAAAUCCCCGGGCUCAACCUGGGAACUGCAUCUGAUACUGGCAAGCUUGAGUCUCGUAGAGGGGGGUAGAAUUCCAGGUGUAGCGGUGAAAUGCGUAGAGAUCUGGAGGAAUACCGGUGGCGAAGGCGGCCCCCUGGACGAAGACUGACGCUCAGGUGCGAAAGCGUGGGGAGCAAACAGGAUUAGAUACCCUGGUAGUCCACGCCGUAAACGAUGUCGACUUGGAGGUUGUGCCCUUGAGGCGUGGCUUCCGGAGCUAACGCGUUAAGUCGACCGCCUGGGGAGUACGGCCGCAAGGUUAAAACUCAAAUGAAUUGACGGGGGCCCGCACAAGCGGUGGAGCAUGUGGUUUAAUUCGAUGCAACGCGAAGAACCUUACCUGGUCUUGACAUCCACAGAACUUUCCAGAGAUGGAUUGGUGCCUUCGGGAACUGUGAGACAGGUGCUGCAUGGCUGUCGUCAGCUCGUGUUGUGAAAUGUUGGGUUAAGUCCCGCAACGAGCGCAACCCUUAUCCUUUGUUGCCAGCGGUCCGGCCGGGAACUCAAAGGAGACUGCCAGUGAUAAACUGGAGGAAGGUGGGGAUGACGUCAAGUCAUCAUGGCCCUUACGACCAGGGCUACACACGUGCUACAAUGGCGCAUACAAAGAGAAGCGACCUCGCGAGAGCAAGCGGACCUCAUAAAGUGCGUCGUAGUCCGGAUUGGAGUCUGCAACUCGACUCCAUGAAGUCGGAAUCGCUAGUAAUCGUGGAUCAGAAUGCCACGGUGAAUACGUUCCCGGGCCUUGUACACACCGCCCGUCACACCAUGGGAGUGAGUUGCAAAAGAAGUAGGUAGCUUAACCUUCGGGAGGGCGCUUACCACUUUGUGAUUCAUGACUGGGGUGAAGUCGUAACAAGGUAACCGUAGGGGAACCUGCGGUUGGAUCACCUCCUUACCUUAAAGAAGC